GCUGGCGGCAGGCUUAACACAUGCAAGUCGAGCGGGCGUAGCAAUACGUCAGCGGCAGACGGGUGAGUAACGCGUGGGAACGUACCUUUUGGUUCGGAACAACACAGGGAAACUUGUGCUAAUACCGGAUAAGCCCCUACGGGGAAAGAUUUAUCGCCGAAAGAUCGGCCCGCGUCUGAUUAGCUAGUUGGUGAGGUAACGGCUCACCAAGGCGACGAUCAGUAGCUGGUCUGAGAGGAUGAUCAGCCACAUUGGGACUGAGACACGGCCCAAACUCCUACGGGAGGCAGCAGUGGGGAAUAUUGGGCAAUGGGGGCAACCCUGAUCCAGCCAUGCCGCGUGAGUGAUGAAGGCCCUAGGGUUGUAAAGCUCUUUUGUGCGGGAAGAUAAUGACGGUACCGCAAGAAUAAGCCCCGGCUAACUUCGUGCCAGCAGCCGCGGUAAUACGAAGGGGGCUAGCGUUGCUCGGAAUCACUGGGCGUAAAGGGUGCGUAGGCGGGUCUUUAAGUCAGGGGUGAAAUCCUGGAGCUCAACCCCAGAACUGCCUUUGAUACUGAGGAUCUUGAGUUCGGGAGAGGUGAGUGGAACUGCGAGUGUAGAGGUGAAAUUCGUAGAU
RNAcentral lists this ribosomal RNA (616 nucleotides) under uncultured soil bacterium. RNAcentral describes it as "bacterial SSU rRNA". It matches the Rfam family "Bacterial small subunit ribosomal RNA", at positions 35 to 695 of the family's 1533-position model. The record is from RNAcentral.